RNAcentral lists this unclassified non-coding RNA (306 nucleotides) under Hevea brasiliensis (rubber tree). The record is from RNAcentral. Lineage: Eukaryota; Viridiplantae; Streptophyta; Magnoliopsida; Malpighiales; Euphorbiaceae.
AACUACUGGACUGACCGGAAAAACCAGACACCCUAUUACUAUGGACUCUCUCCUCAAGUGCAGUAACAGAGCUGGGGGACAAUGUAGUCUCUGAGCCUAAAGCUAGUUCUUUGCUAGCAGAAUCGUCUUCAUCCACCCUCUGAAAAGCUAUAACAGAUGUGGGAGACACAGUAGAUUCCGAACAACGCUUCAAAUCUUUAGAAAAUCUCUUGGUUAUGUCUGUAGCUGAAAUAGGUUGAACAACUGGUAAAGUUAAUUUAUGGGAUAAUGGCACCUGUGAAACUACAGUUGCCACCGGAAUCCUAU